AUUGAACGCUAGCGGGAUGCUUUACACAUGCAAGUCGAACGGCAGCGCGGACUUCGGUCUGGCGGCGAGUGGCGAACGGGUGAGUAAUGUAUCGGAACGUGCCCAGUAGCGGGGGAUAACUACGCGAAAGCGUAGCUAAUACCGCAUACGCCCUACGGGGGAAAGCAGGGGAUCGUAAGACCUUGCACUAUUGGAGCGGGCGAUAUCGGAUUAGCUAGUUGGUGAGGUAACGGCUCAACAAGGCGACGAUCCGUAGCUGGUUUGAGAGGACGACCAGCCACACUGGGACUGAGACACGGCCCAGACUCCUACGGGAGGCAGCAGUGGGGAAUUUUGGACAAUGGGGGCAACCCUGAUCCAGCCAUCCCGCGUGUGCGAUGAAGGCCUUCGGGUUGUAAAGCACUUUUGGCAGGAAAGAAACGUCGCGGGCUAAUACCCCGUGGAACUGACGGUACCUGCAGAAUAAGCACCGGCUAACUACGUG
This 484-nucleotide ribosomal RNA is filed under the name uncultured bacterium. RNAcentral's name for it is "partial 16S ribosomal RNA". It matches the Rfam family "Bacterial small subunit ribosomal RNA", at positions 30 to 507 of the family's 1533-position model. The record is from RNAcentral.